AAGUUCCUUCGGGAACAAGUACAGCGGCGAACGGGUGAGUAACGCGUAAGAAUCUACCGUUCAGUGGAGAAUACCCUCGAGAAAUCGAGGUUAAUACUGCAUACGUCCCUUCGGGGAGAAAGAUGGCCUCUUUGCUAUCGCUGAAUGAGGAGCUUGCGUACUAUUAGCUAGUUGGUGGGGUAAAGGCCUACCAAGGCGAUGAUGGUUAGCCGGCCUGAGAGGGUGUUCGGCCACACUGGAACUUAGACACGGUCCAGACUCCUACGGGAGGCAGCAGUGAGGAAUCUUGCACAAUGGGCGAAAGCCUGAUGCAGCGACGCCGCGUGGAGGAUGAAGGUUUUCGGA
This 345-nucleotide ribosomal RNA is filed under the name uncultured bacterium. Its description in RNAcentral is "bacterial SSU rRNA". It matches the Rfam family "Bacterial small subunit ribosomal RNA", at positions 72 to 422 of the family's 1533-position model. The record is from RNAcentral.